GACGAACGCUGGCGGCGUGCCUAACACAUGCAAGUCGAACGGAAAGGCCCUGCUUUUGUGGGGUGCUCGAGUGGCGAACGGGUGAGUAACACGUGAGUAACCUGCCCUUGACUUUGGGAUAACUUCAGGAAACUGGGGCUAAUACCGGAUAGGAGCUCCUGCUGCAUGGUGGGGGUUGGAAAGUUUCGGCGGUUGGGGAUGGACUCGCGGCUUAUCAGCUUGUUGGUGGGGUAGUGGCUUACCAAGGCUUUGACGGGUAGCCGGCCUGAGAGGGUGACCGGCCACAUUGGGACUGAGAUACGGCCCAGACUCCUACGGGGGGCAGCAGUGGGGAAUAUUGCACAAUGGGCGGAAGCCUGAUGCAGCAACGCCGCGUGCGGGAUGACGGCCUUCGGGUUGUAAACCGCUUUCGCCUGUGACGAAGCGUGAGUGACGGUAAUGGGUAAAGAAGCACCGGCUAACUACGUG
Molecule: ribosomal RNA, 468 nt
Filed under: uncultured bacterium
Lineage: Bacteria
Description: partial 16S ribosomal RNA
Rfam family: Bacterial small subunit ribosomal RNA
Source: RNAcentral